AUUGAACGCUGGCGGCAGGCCUAACACAUGCAAGUCGAACGGUAACAGGAAGAAGCUUGCUUCUUUGCUGACGAGUGGCGGACGGGUGAGUAAUGUCUGGGAAACUGCCUGAUGGAGGGGGAUAACUACUGGAAACGGUAGCUAAUACCGCAUAACGUCGCAAGACCAAAGAGGGGGACCUUCGGGCCUCUUGCCAUCGGAUGUGCCCAGAUGGGAUUAGCUAGUAGGUGGGGUAACGGCUCACCUAGGCGACGAUCCCUAGCUGGUCUGAGAGGAUGACCAGCCACACUGGAACUGAGACACGGUCCAGACUCCUACGGGAGGCAGCAGUGGGGAAUAUUGCACAAUGGGCGCAAGCUUGAUGCAGCCAUGCCGCGUGUAUGAAGAAGGCCUUCGGGUUGUAAAGUACUUUCAGCGGGGAGGAAGGGAGUAAAGUUAAUACCUUUGCUCAUUGACGUUACCCGCAGAAGAAGCACCGGCUAACUCCGUG
RNAcentral lists this ribosomal RNA (490 nucleotides) under uncultured bacterium. Its description in RNAcentral is "partial 16S ribosomal RNA". It matches the Rfam family "Bacterial small subunit ribosomal RNA", at positions 30 to 507 of the family's 1533-position model. The record is from RNAcentral.